GUAUCAGAUAAACACCCAUUUUACUGUGGAUUUACAUCCUCAUUGUGGCGACUUCAUUGCUAUUUGAAGGCAUGUAGGCUUCAUUUUUUUAAUUCUGAAACUUACAUUUUUUAACUUAGGAAUUUGAACUCAACCUCAAUUCUAAAAUUCUUAUAAGAGGCAAAUGUGGACUGGCUGGCUGCUGAUGUCUGUCCUGACAAAGGAGAGGUGCCCGAUGAGCUCCCAGUCAUGUGGUUCAGGGCGGGCUCUGGAAGACUCACAGAGGAGACUCCUCCGAGAAACCAAGAAGGUUUCUGUCCAAGUCGGGAUCUGCUCUGCUCAGGAUGCUCCUCCAACACACACAGUGAAAAACUGAGCACCUAGAGAGCAACACCAAAAACCCAUGGCCAAUAAUGGAGAGCCAAAUCAGGAGAGCAUUCAGCAAAGCAAUUCUUGCUGUAGAAGGAACAGCACAAAAAGCUGGAAGGAAACUGAGGCAUGCGUGAAAGAUAACUUGUCAGUGUUUGCAGUCUACUGAGAUCCCCGCUGCAAGAAAAGGCAGGAUUUCCACUUGCUUCUUGGCCCGCCUCUGUUGUCCAGAAUCCAGGACAGGUGACAAGAGAAGCAGAUGUGAUCUGCACAAGCUGGCUCAGCUGGGUUGGGAGUUGCUCUUCCUGGACAGGCCGGGAAGGGUGCUGGAGGGGAGGGAGGAGGAGAGAGGUUUUAGGGGAGGGGUGCUGAGCAGUCAGGGACCUGUAAGGUCACAUUUCUUUCAGGUAUUCUUUCUAGGUGUACUGAAUGGGAACAUUGUCUGUCAUCCCUAGACUGCAUUAAAGACCUAAACUGCUUCCAUUUA
Molecule: long non-coding RNA, 835 nt
Organism: Homo sapiens (human)
Lineage: Eukaryota; Metazoa; Chordata; Mammalia; Primates; Hominidae
Product: long intergenic non-protein coding RNA 2937
Source: Ensembl